RNAcentral lists this ribosomal RNA (814 nucleotides) under Cephalobothrium aetobatidis. Its description in RNAcentral is "partial 16S ribosomal RNA". The stretch from base 564 to 814 matches the Rfam family "Archaeal large subunit ribosomal RNA", at positions 2156 to 2693 of the family's 2987-position model. Lineage: Eukaryota; Metazoa; Platyhelminthes; Cestoda; Lecanicephalidea; Lecanicephalidae. The record is from RNAcentral.
GAAAGUAUUUGAUUUUAUUAUUAGUUGGAUUAUGGGUUCUUUGUGGGGUCGGGUAGACCCUAAUAAAUUAUUUUUACGUUGUGAUAAAUUAUUCGGUUGUACUUAUAUCUGUUUAACAGCUACUUUUAUCAUUUUACUUUUAUGGCUAUAAAGUCUUAAAAUAUUAAAUAUCUAUUAUACUCUGUUGCUAGCAAAGGGUUAAAGUUACCCAUUGGUUAUAAUUGUGUUAUAACUUUGUUAUUUGUUCAUUAAGAUUUUAUUGUUCAGCUGUUCAUUUUUAAUUUUUAGGUUCUUAUUAUGAUUAUAUAAGUAAUUUUAAUACAUAUUAUGUUUCUCAUAAGCUGCCUGUCUGUUUAUCAAAAACAUUUCCACCUACAUUUUUGGGUGGUAGUACCUGCUCUAUGCUUUAGUAAAUGGCCGCAGUAUCUUGACUGUGCGAAGGUAGCAUAAUUAAUUGCCUUAUAAUUGAGGGCUUGUUUGAAUGGUUUGACAAGGUAGUGUUUAACAUGUUUUGUAUUUUUGAAUUUAAUACUGGGGGUACAGAAUCCCCUUAAUGUUAAUUAGACGGAAAGACCCCGGGAUCUUUUAUUUUGUCUGGGGCAGAUUAUAAUGAUUCAUUUAUAAAUUUGACCUUAAUGGUGCAUUGGUGUAAGUUACCCCGGGGAUAACAGUGUAAUAGUUUAUUAGAGAUCUUAUCGAAUAAACUGCUUGCUACCUCGAUGUUGACUUAGGUUUAGGCUUGGGCGCAGUAGUCCAGGCUUUUGGUCUGUUCGACCUUAACUAACCUCCAUGAGUUGAGUUAAGACCGGCGUGA